This 459-nucleotide ribosomal RNA is filed under the name uncultured bacterium. RNAcentral's name for it is "bacterial SSU rRNA". It matches the Rfam family "Bacterial small subunit ribosomal RNA", at positions 29 to 531 of the family's 1533-position model. The record is from RNAcentral.
AACGAACGCUGGCGGCAGGCUUAACACAUGCAAGUCGAGCGCCCCGCAAGGGGAGCGGCAGACGGGGUGAGUAACGCGUGGGAACAUACCCUUUGGUUCGGAAUAACUCAGGGAAACUUGAGCUAAUACCGGAUACGUCCGUAAGGAGAAAGAUUUAUCGCCAAAGGAUUGGCCCGCGUCCGAUUAGCUAGUUGGUGAGGUAACGGCUCACCAAGGCUACGAUCGGUAGCUGGUCUGAGAGGAUGAUCAGCCACAUUGGGACUGAGACACGGCCCAAACUCCUACGGGAGGCAGCAGUGGGGAAUAUUGGACAAUGGGCGCAAGCCUGAUCCAGCCAUGCCGCGUGAGUGAUGAAGGCCCUAGGGUUGUAAAGCUCUUUCACCGGUGAAGAUAAUGACGGUAACCGGAGAAGAAGCCCCGGCUAACUUCGUGCCAGCAGCCGCGGUAAUGUGACUACUG